CUGGUUGAUCCUGCCAGUAGUCAUAUGCUUGUCUCAAAGAUUAAGCCAUGCAUGUCUAAGUCCAAGCUGUGUUUACACGGCGAGACCGCGGACGGCUCAUUAAAUCAGUCGUGGUCCAAAUGGGCCAGUGCAAAUCCUACUUGGAUAACUGUGGUAAUUCCAGAGCUAAUACAUGCAACUGAUAUCCCGAAGGCUUGUGCUUGCUUGUCUUGCGCUUGUCUAACGGAUGCUUUUAUUAGACCAAGCCGCUGAGGACUUGAUUGCUCACGCUUUCUUGUUCGACUCGUGUAAUGGUGACUCUGGAUAACCAAUUCUGACAAGCGAACGUACUCCUCUUUGAGCGAGACGGCGCUGCCACUUUCGAGUGUCUGCCUUAUCAGCUAUCAACCGUUCGUUAUGCGCGACCGAUGGCUUUGACGGGUAACGGGGAAUCAGGGUUCGAUUCCGGAGAGGCAGCCUGAGAGACGGCUACCACGUCCAAGGACGGCAGCAGGCACGCAAAUUACCCAAUCCCAGCAAAUGGGGGAGGUAGUGACG
Molecule: ribosomal RNA, 537 nt
Filed under: Amathillina pusilla
Lineage: Eukaryota; Metazoa; Arthropoda; Malacostraca; Amphipoda; Pontogammaridae
Description: bacterial SSU rRNA
Rfam family: Eukaryotic small subunit ribosomal RNA
Source: RNAcentral